RNAcentral lists this ribosomal RNA (117 nucleotides) under bacterium. The record is from RNAcentral.
CAGGGUGUUCAGAGCGGAUUGGUAACACCUCUUCCCAUUCCGAACAGAGCCGUUAAGCAAUCCAGCGCGGAAGAUACUUGAAGGGCAACUUUCUGGGAAAAUACGCCAACGCCCUGU